UGCUGGGAUUACAGGCGUGAGCCACCGCGCCUGGCUUAUUUUCUUGCAAACAAAACUGAAAAUAUCAGUUCAUAAUGUGUUUCCAUAUACUUUGCCCUUAUUCAAAUGGUUAUGAACAAGUGGCCUUCCAUUUUCUAUUGCCACUGUAAUUAUUUGUUCCUGAUCUGACAACACCUUCUUCAGCUCCUUUCUCUGGCCACCGAGAUUAACAGUCCCACAAGCAGUCUUUUGAUUCACUAAGUGGCUUAAUAGGGCAAGGUUGAUUUGAGCCAAUACUUCUGGAAUGUUCAUUUCGAUUUGUAACAGAAGUUUUUUUCUGAAUUCAUCCCCACAAGGUGAGCUGGAAAACUGCAACCAUAACCAAAGCUAGAAAAUACUGGAAGUAGCCAAUAUUUCUUUUCAUCACCAAAGACUUGUCUCCAAUUUUUACUAUUGUUCUAUUUUUUCCAGCCAGCCAAUAGUAGUAGCUGAAAAGCGAGAGGACACUGAUGAAGAACUUUGCAGGCCCAAAGAAAAGGAAAAGUAUGUGGAGCUUUGCUGUGUAUCUGUCAGUUCAUCCUACUCCACUAGGACAUGGCGUUCUCAAGACUUGAUGUCCUCCAGGCCCCCAGCUGAGGGCAGCGAGCACCCUGAGAGCCAGCUGGACUUACCUCUUGGUGUGUAACUACACAGUCACCGCAUCUGGGUGGGGAGUUGUCCUGCACUUCUGGAAUCAUCUUCCUUGGUCAUGGUGGCUACUGCUGUACUGUCCUUCUGAGGUCGGUGAGAUAGGGUAUUCACAGCCUCCCUUGAAAGGAAACAAGAGACUUGUCAGGUUGAUGGAGAGAACAAGCUGUUCGACAGUGCACAAACCAUAUCCUGGGCUUGUGGUUAGAACAUCCUACAGCAAGGAGGUAGAAGAGGCAAGGGAAACAUCCCCAAAUCUAAGCAAGCACAGAAACCCAUGAUUAGCAUCCUUGGGCUGACCUAUGCUCAUUAUCAUAGUAGAAAACAUACGCCUGAGUGGGAAGUGAAGAUGCUAAUGAGACAUGAGAUGUAUGUGCUGGUAUGUACAACCACAGUGCACGCACGUCCAAGAGAGCACAGAACAUGCUUAAAACAAUACCCCUUCCCACCUAUUCAUGAAUAAUCAUGUAAGACUCCUGUGAGGGAAGGGUACUGUCUCACUUUUGAGCAGCCUGCUCUGAUCAGCUGUCAGAGUAUACUUUCACUUUGCAAUAAAUUCUCCUGCUGACUUUUACUUUGGACUUGCUCUCAAAUUCUUUUGUGUGGCAAGUCCAGAGCACGCACCGGCCCAUCGGCUACAUAUCCUACCUUUUUUCUUUCUUUCUGUAUCUUGUUGCUAGGGAUAACUUUGCCCUUGCUGGCAGCAUGCCCCUGAGGAUGGUGUGCUGUGGCAGGUGUCCUCCUCGGCUUGGCCUUAGGUCACUAAGCAUAGCCCAUGGUAGGAGGUUCUGAGAAUGAGUGGAACUGCCUCAUGCAAUGGUCCCCAUGGGAGUGGCCCACAGUUGCUUGCAUCUGUGGCAUUUUCACAACUGUUUAAAAAGACUCAAGAAUGUACUGUGGGAGGAGAGCAGGUCUGGGGCCUCACCUGUGUCCCCCACCUGCUCAUCUGCAUGGCCGUGCGCUUGAUGUGGUCAGAAGUGAGAAAUGCUGCUGCCCCUUUGCAAAGCACUACUUAGUUUUUCUCUUCUUAAGGGUGGUGGCACGAUGCCCAGGUUGAGAUGGACGCAGGAGUCGGCAUCCUAAAGUAAAAGGAGAGACUUUAAUAGAAAUACCUGAGCUUUUCAAUGCGCACGAACAGGGCCUUUUACCCUCUGGCAACCAUGUGUUUCUCAUUGAGAUGUUUCUUGUCCUCAGAGUGAUUUUUCCUUUUUGCAGGUGGUUUAUCAAAACAGGAAAGGACAAAAAAGAAAAAGCAGGAGAAGAAAAAGUAUGGGGAGCUGGGACCCUGGCCCUGAGCAGGUGACAUACAAAAUGCUUCUGGGGAGGCUGCCGCCAUCUGGGGCACUGGCACAUGGGGCACGGCAGGGCCCGCCUUCCUGAUGAUGCCGCCUGUCCCAGUUGCUCGCCGGAAGUUGCAGUGCCCAGAUCAGUUUUGUAUUGAUGAGAAUUUAAAAAAAAUAUUAUAUUACAUAAUUUUAUGCUUUUUGAAAAUAAGUAAUAAACUUUUCUGGCUAAGUUGUUAGUAAUGGUAAUCUCUCUAAUGUGCUUAAAGACAGUCAAAUCUACAGGGUUCCCAUCUUCACUGGAUGUCCGUGCUUCCUGCUUGGUCUGUUUUCAGGUGUCUUUGCCUGUUUGUUGCCCCUAUGACUGCUGACAUCCUGCCUUUUGGUGGAAACCACACCCUUCCUUGCCCAUUGAGGGUUGGAAAAUUGGAUGACUAAACUCAAUGAAGAUAGAAGGUAACACUUGUUCUACACGGGUGCCUUCAUCACCUGCACUUGAAAGCAAGGCUGAGGUGCAGAAGGCACAAAAUGUGGCCAUGUCCCUUGGCUGGCAAGUGGCCCAUGAGCAAUGUGAGCCUGAGUGGAUGACACUGUGACACAGUUCAGGGUGCAUCACAAUGUUGCUCUUUGUGACUGCAGGGCCAAAAGGAACCAGGGCUGAGAGGAACCUGGAGACAUGCUGGGGUGGGGCCAGAUGAGGGCCUGGAGAGAGCCUCCACCCACCGUCACAGGGCCGGGGGAGACAGAUUGAGGAGAGGCACCUGCCCCUCUCUCUUUGCAGAGUGGAAUGACAGCUGAUGACAUCAUUGUGAAAGCCACAGUACUACAGAGAUGUUUGGACAUUCAUCAGAGGCAGGCCUGUUGUGGGAAAGUCAGGGCUCUGGUGAGGAAACCUGAGAUUCUGCAAACUGGAACCGGGUUAUCCUAUGGGUGCCCUUUCGAACCCUCUGGGCAUGCAGAGGAGGCUCGCUCUUCUCUGGUAAUAGUUCCCACUUCCUACACUGGAAUAUGCUGCAGAAGCCUCACCCCUAUGAUGCAAUGGGAAUCCCACCCAGUAGUUUUGCAGUAACUAGCGGGUAGGUAUGCCCCCGUAGGAGCCUGAGGAGCAGUUCUGGGAUUGGAAUUUGAGGGUGUUUGAUCAAAGGGCCAGAAUCAAGCUGGAUAAAUAAAAAACACCUUUGGCUUGGGAGCACUUUCUCAGGGUAUGGGUUUAUCAAGGACCUCAGGGCAUGGGGCAAACCCACUGCUAGGGUGGACCCAUGUAGACUGGAAAAAAUGAUGCUCAACUCUCAGUAAGUUAGACAUGACUUAGUUGUAGGAACAUGUAGUGGAUGGAUAAAGAGGCCGGGGGAAGUUGGUGUGUGGGAUGGAGACAUCAUGUGAGACCAGAAGGCCCACUAGGGCCAUGCUCCACAGAGGACCCAGAGGGCACACCUUCCACCAGAGCCUCAGGAAUGUACCGGUAAGAGGGACCUGUAUUCCUAAGAGGCGUCAGGGUGGUGUCCUCUGCAGGCUGGGUGUGAUGGCAGGAAGGAGGUCCUUAGUUGGGCUCAUUGAUAUUCCUGGGGAAAACGUGGCCCUGAAAAGAUUGAGAACCAAAUGGUGGCAGUGACCUGCAAAAGCCAGAGGGCACGGUUACCAUGACAAUCUCAGAGGAGCAUCUGAGGCAGCUUGAUCUGCAGGGAGUUGUGGGGAAGGUUAAUAGAGGGUGGUGUCAGAAUAGACAGGCAGCCAACAAGGGUGCUGCUUGAUGUCCAUGAUAAGAAAGCAAGAAUUGAUGAGCAGGAGGCUGAGGGUGUUUAACUCAAUACAAAGUCAUGAUCCCACUCUCAAUUCCUAAACUUCAACCAAGUUUCAGAUUCAGAUCCCAGUUCUAGAGGAGUCCCUACCCCAGGAGGAAGGACCCUGGAACCUCAUGGCAAGUAUAUGCUGGAACAAUUCCUUCUGUCUUUCUGCCAAGGAGUCUACGGCCAUUUACUCGGGGGACUGUACACUGCGAAAGGGAAACAGGCAGAAUUUGGGGGAGUAUUGACACUGGGUGUGAGCUGAUAUUGAUGCCUAUAGGCCUACAGCACCAUCAUGUCCCCAUCACAGUGGGACUUACAGAAGCCGGGAAUAAACCUGGACACAUCACAGUGGAACCACUGGGUCCACAGACCCAGCCCUGUUUAUCUCCCCAUUCCCCAAGUGUUUAAUUGGUAUUGAUGCACUGGCAGCUAGAGUAACCCCCACACUGGGUCCAAAGUCUCUGGAAUAAGGGGUCUCAUUGUCUGAAAGCCAAAGGGAAAUCUCUGCAACUGACUUCAUUCUGGCCAAAUAAAAAAUGAUAUUGAGUCCCAGGGUGGGUCUUAUGAAAGGUACUGUAGUUAUUGUAGGUGUAGCACCUCCAUUAGAGAGCUGAAGGAUGAGGGGUGGUGUUGGGGUUGCCUCUUAUUUUCACGUGACCCAGCAAUCUGUCCCCAAAGAAGCCUGAUGGGGCCUAAAGAAUGAAUGGGAUUACUUCAGACUUGACAGAGUAGGAGUCAUAAUUGCAGCUGCCAUGCUGGCUGGAUAUCACUGGUAGAGCAGAUUGAUAAGGCCUCAGGCACACAGUGUGCAGCUGUGGAUUUGGUCAGUGUGUUCCUUUCCACUCCAAUGAGAAAAACUGUAAAUGAAGUGAUUCAUGUGGGAUCCACAACAUGUUUCUUUAUAGUUGACCUCAGGGUUAUUGUCACUGACCUGCCCUCUAUAGUAGAGUCUUCAGAGAUCUGAAGAACCCGGCAUCCUAUAGAAUAGUGAAUCAGCUCAUUUCAUCAACAACAUCAGGUUGACUAGGAUGGAUGAGUAGGAGGUGGAAAGUAUGCUGAAGGCCUUGGCAAAUAACGUGCUCUUCAGAAGAUGGAAGAUAAACCAUACAGAGAUUCAGGAGUCGCCACUGUGGUGAAGUUUUAUUUGUCCGGUGGUUGAGGACAUCCAGGAGUUUCUCCUCCAGAGUAAAAGACAAACUGUUGCAUCUUGCAUCCUCACGACAAAGAAGGAAGCACACUGCCUGGUGAACAUCUUUGAGUUCUGACAACACCGCAUCCCACAUCUAUUGCUUUGGCCCAUACUCUAGGAGAAAUAGGAGGGGACUUACUUCAAUUGGGCCUACUGAGGAAAGGACACUGUGGCAGAUUCAGGCCAUGAGGCAGCACCAUCCCUCAGACCCACCUGGAGGUGUCAGUGGUGGGGAAAGAUGCAGGAUGGAGUUGAAACAAGCAACAGUGGGGAAGUCACAUAGAGGGCCUGGGAUUCUGGAGUAAGGCCGUGCCAUCCACAGCAGAGCCGUAUGCCCCUGUUAGAAGCAACUUUUGGCAUGUUACUGGCCCUGAUAAGAGAAUACUUGCCAUGGGACAUCAAACAACCAUGUGAUUUCAAAUGCCCAUAUGAGUUGGCUUCUGUAACUCAGGAAGUCAUAGAUUGGACAGACCCCAAAGCAUUCAUCAUGAGAUGGAAAUGGUCCAUCUGGGUUGAGCAUGAAUCCUAUGUUGACACCUCCAGAAAAUACCCGAACCUGAAGUGGCACUAAACAACCAAGCAGACAAAUUGAAGUUAGCCAGCCCUCAGCAUGGGUCAGGUCAGCCCAGGCCUGGCAGAAUCGGUGCAUCAGUGGAGCAACCACAGCGGCAGGGAUGAGGCUAAAUAUGGGUCCAGAAGCACUGACUGCCACCUUCCAAGACAGAUCCAGCUGCUGCCACCUCUGAAUGUCCAACUCAUUAGCAUUUGAGGCCAAUGAUGUGCCUCAGUGGGGCUACAUUUCUUUAGGUGACUAACUCGCUGAUAAGUGAUGAGUUGACUACAUUGAGCCACUUCCAUCCUGGAAGGGCCAGAGGUUCAUCUUCACAGGGUUAGGCACCAUUCCAUGAGUGGGUUUUCCUGUCCUGCUCUCAGACCCUCAGUCAGCACCAUUCUCUGGGGACUGUUGAUGUUCCUGAUCCACAGGCUUGACAUUGCUCUUAGCACACUGUCUUCCUGGGGGAACCCACUUGACAAGGAAGUAGGUGCAGCAUUUUCACGGCCAUGGGAUCCACUGGUUCUAUCAUCAUCUGUACCACCAAGGGUCUGCCAGCCACAAAGAAUGCCGGACAGGUCUUCUACAGGCACAACUCAGUGCCAGUCUGGAGGAAGCACUUUGAGGGCUGGGUGCUGUCUUUCAGGACAUGGUGCAUUUAUUAAAUCAGAGACAUGUCUACAGUGCUGUGUUCUCAGUAGGAAGAACAUGUGGGUCAAGAAACCAAGGAGUGGAAGUGAGUAUGGCUCCAUGUCUCAUUCCUUAGAUUCACCUGCUGUGGGAUUUUGCACUUCUCAUCUCCCAAACCUGUGCUCUGCAGGGUAGAAGGUCCUGGAUUCUAAAGGAGGGUACUCUUCAAUCAGGACAAAUGAGAGCCCACUGAACAGCACAUUACUAUUGCCCGCAGGGAGAUUUGGACAGUAUGUGCCCAGAGACUAGCAAGUGAGGAGUCCCCUCCUCUCCAGGCACAGGUCAACAAAAAUUAAUUUAGUGCCUAUGCUGAACCAGGUAUGCCCUCAUAUGCUCAAGUGCCUGACAUUCUAGAUGCUUCACAAGACCAAAGUGGAGCCACUGGAGUGUUUUAGGUUUAAAAAACUACUAGGUGUUCCAAUAAAAUAUGCACACCACUUAGAUGCAGAUACCUCCUAAAAACAGGAAGUGCAUGAGCACUGGUGAGGGGCAUUGUGACUGCGUUGAACACUUGCAACUUUGAGGUGAAUGAAUGCACUGGUUCCUGGUUGCAACAUACAAUAACACAUUGUGCUACUUUGUAUUGAGGAGAUGUCCUGGACUCACACAGAAACUCAGGGCUAUAGAAUGAAGCUACGACUUUUCCAGAGAAGGAGGAGGAGGAGGACGACG
This 6840-nucleotide long non-coding RNA is filed under the name Macaca fascicularis (crab-eating macaque). RNAcentral describes it as "uncharacterized LOC106997874". The record is from RNAcentral. Lineage: Eukaryota; Metazoa; Chordata; Mammalia; Primates; Cercopithecidae.